Molecule: long non-coding RNA, 199 nt
Filed under: Elaeis guineensis (African oil palm)
Lineage: Eukaryota; Viridiplantae; Streptophyta; Magnoliopsida; Arecales; Arecaceae
Description: long non-coding RNA (EGUI_LNC071938)
Source: RNAcentral
GAUGAGGAAAAAAAUCCGAGUCAGAUCAAAUGGUUAGGAAGAAUAGAUUUCAUAUUUAAAAUUUUCAUAACUCUUAUAAAAGUUAUCUUGAUGCGCAGCAGAACCAAGAUCAAAAUUGUUGAAUUUAAGAAACCUAUUGCUUCAUGAGAUCCAGAUAUGCAGAUCUUCUACUUCAUAUGCACGUCAAGUAACGCAGGAG